Long non-coding RNA from Mus musculus (house mouse), 395 nucleotides. RefSeq annotates it as predicted gene, 39591. The transcript is spliced from 4 exons. Lineage: Eukaryota; Metazoa; Chordata; Mammalia; Rodentia; Muridae. The record is from RefSeq and is a predicted model, not a curated record.
UUUCCCCUUUUCAUUCAGUCUAUAUCAGGUCCUGACUCCUCAGUUAAGCUUGUAUAGAAAUAUCCUCAAAGAUAUGUCUCAAAAUGCAUCUGCAUGGUUAGACCAUCAUGGCAAGGAAGGCUCAGCAGCAUGACUCCAUCUCAGAAACUGUUUUUUCCUAUAGUACUCAUAAGGGCUGCUGUAUUCAUAGAGGACACACAAAAGGUGUCUGGCCAUCUCAUCUUAACUGAGUCUUGUAAAGCUGAAAUGAAGAUGUAUACUAUCUGCCCAUGAAGGUUGGGAGAAGUCAUCUGAGGCCUUGGAAUGGAGUUCUUACAUAUAAUUCUGAGCUGUCACGUGGAUGCCUGGAACAUAACCUGGGUCCUUGGCAAGAGUUGCGAGUGCUCUUAACCUGU